UAAAUUUAUAAUUACUGGCCACAGACAGUAGGCGGGGAAACCCUUAAUAUCCUACCGAGGUCAAAAUAAGGUAAAACUAUUACCUAUUUGAUGUUCUGUGGUUAUUCACAGAACUUUUUCGUUAUUAAC
Candidatus Melainabacteria bacterium GWF2_37_15 is the source of this 129-nucleotide non-coding RNA. NCBI's taxonomy places the organism in Bacteria, Bacillati, Candidatus Melainabacteria. The record is from Rfam.